This is a non-coding RNA of Amborella trichopoda, 6320 nucleotides long. The record is from RefSeq and is a predicted model, not a curated record. Lineage: Eukaryota; Viridiplantae; Streptophyta; Magnoliopsida; Amborellales; Amborellaceae.
UCCACAUCACUCCCAGAUAUUUUCGCUCCACCACUUUCCGAACGUUUCUCUGCAACUCUUCUCCCCCCUCGCUUUCUCUCUCUUGAACUCUUCUAUCGUUUGUCUUUCUCUCUCUUCCAUUUCUUUUACUCUCGCAUCUAUCUUCCUCUCUCUAUCUUCUUGCCCCUUCUCUGUGCUUUUUUACGCUUGCAUUCACUCUGCAACUUCUUAGUGUCUCUCUGGUGCCAAAAUGGAAAGAGACGAAGUAUCGCAAGUUUGCAACAUGAGAGCUCCCCAGAAGAUCAUUCAUCCUACUAUUAAUCUCUUACCGUUCUGCAAUGGUGCUUAAAUGGUGUGAGAUGGGGAAAGAACAAACUUCUGAUUGAGAUUGAAGAUUCGAAGUAAGCACUUAAAGGCCAGGCCUUCAAUUCCAGUUUGUUUGCAUGCAUACGCCUAGACAUGGUAGAUUGGGGUUGCAAUAGAUUGUCAGUUUUUAGCACUUUAAAAGGUAUGGAGACGUUGAUUGCAAGGAAAUGAAAAUCCUUUUGUUUAUCUGUUUUACUUGUUCGAGCUUGUGGAGGAUGACUUAGACUGGGAUCUACCAUUCCUUUUCCUUACUAAUGGUGGUUCUCCCUUCACCUGUGGAACUUCAGAUUGCCCAACUAAUUCCAGGUGCUCCUAGUUUCUUAUUGGUUUGUGUUGUGAUUUUAGCUCAUAUGAACUCUGGGUCGAGAGAAUUAUGGGGACUCAUUUAUUAAUGGGUAAACGGUCAUUAUGCUUUUUCCUCAACAUUCAGGUUGUAGAUUAAGUUCUAAUUAGAGAAAAACUCUUUUAUGAAAUAAGAGUUAUACGAUGUAUUUUUUGUUCCUCAUGAAACCUCUAUACAUUUAAUCUGAUAAAAUAUUCUAAUUUUAUGAUGACUUGAUUCUUAUAAUUGCUGGCUUUACCUGGUGACUGAUUAUUCUUUUUUUGUAACUCAAAAGUAGUUGACUGGCUUUGUGUCGCUGCAGUCACAUAAUCCUGUACUUUUUUGCUUGCAUCCUUCAUUUCUUUUAGAAAAAGGAGUGAGUCACAAAGUCAUAAUCAACAAGAAUCUGUCAGAGCCACCUUCCCAUGCAUGUUGGGAAUAGAAUAUUCUUCUAGAGCACCGUAACUUUGCUUCUGAUUCUGACCUAUACUGGACUGGUAAAUUGCGGCCAGUAUGGAGAGAGUGUCAUAAUCAACAAGAAUCUGUCAGAGCCAAUUUCCCAUGCAUGUGGGGAAUAGAAUAUUCUUCUAGAGCACCGUAACUUUUCUCUGAAGAUUCUUACCUAUUCUGGAGUGGUAAAUUGCGGUCAGUAUGGAAAGUGUGUUUUCUACAUUGUUUUAACUCACUACAUGUCUCAACUGACUUUUGAUGUAUCCAUAUCUAAUAAUACCAUUAGUAUAUGUGGUGGAAUGCAAAAACAAUAGAUAGAAUACUGAAAUAAUGUUUAGGAUGUUUUUCUAGUCUCACAAAACCUUACUUCCUGGAUUGAGAAUGCUUGCAAACUCUGUCAAUUAUGAUAUCUUAUUAAUUUUUUGUUGCUUGAAAUGUUCAUUUUCAUCGAUCUAAAUUGGAUUAUUUGAUUUUAUUUAUGUGUUAAUUUUCUGAAGGUAUCCAUACUCUAGCUAAACAAGAAACAAUGAAACCCAGGCAGUUCCUGGAGAUUACAGAUGAAAUUGAAAAGCCUGGCCAAUUUCCAAGGAUAAUGAUAUUUAUUCUCUUAUGAGACCCUAGGACUUGCUACUGAUUUCCAAUAUGUAUGACUACAGGCAAAUUUUGGUGGGUGCUUCCCUGAAAGGGUCGAGAAGAUACCGGUGAUUAUCUUGCAAAGAUUUGAGUUGCUGCCUUAAGGUUGCUGCCUCCCUCUGCCAUAACUAGUUAAAGUUAUUGACCGCCUUCACAGAUAAGCUUUUAGUGCUGUUGGGUUGACUAAUUUUCUGAUCAUACUUCCAACCAUAUUUGUUUGUGCUAGAAAGCUUGAAAGAUGCAGUGUUUACAGUCAUAAUUUCACUUCUCACACCUCUUCAAGAUUGACUUGUGGAUGUGGAAAUCAAGGGAAGUGAUGCUUUGGGUUAGAAAACCAGGAGAAUCUGGUGAUUCUGGAGAUUCUCCAUGCGGUUCAGGUCUGACUCAUCUGAUUCAGGUUGGAUCAGCAAUUUUCAAUCACUGCCAAGGCAGGACAUGCUACGUUGGUGUAUUUUUAUUACAUGUGACCCACCUGACUAUAUGCAAUUUCUAGAGUAAGCCUUCAAUUCUCUUAUUGUGUCACCAUGUAUUACCAGUUUAUUUUCCCUUUCAAUCUGGAUAUAUGGAAAAUCUUCCUCUCGUGGGCCUUAGAUAUUUUAAACUUAUAGGAUGGGGUUUUUAUUUUCCCUGGUAUAAUAAGCUUUUUAUUUUUCUUAACAAAAAAUUUCUGAUUGAAGUAGUCAAAUUUGGCUUGAAAAAUGAAUAAAAAUCUUCUGAUCGAAUUUAUUGGCUUCAAUUUUAGGAAAAUUAACAUUGGAUCAUUGUGAGCAUGACACUGUAGGCGUUAUGCCACCGAGCAUAAUGAAUUCAAAUGCUUUGGAACUUCCAUCAUCAUCUGUGUUUGGGUUUUUUAUUCUGUUCUGGGAUCUUGCGGUCUAAAAAACUUCACUUGCUUAGUAGAGAAGCAAUGUAAAAACAAAAUAUUAAUGGCUAUGAUGAUGAACAUUAAAUACAUGAGAGCUUUUGAUUUUUUAAACUCACCAAACACUGGCAAGCUGCACUCAGUUAUUUUUUAUUUUUUUUACUUGUGACAACCUGUUUGUCCAAUGAAAUGGAGGGCUUGAACCUUGAAUGGUGACCCUCAUAUCAAUAAAAAAGAAAAAUUGGAGAAAGUGUGAAGAGGAUGGUAGGAAGUAGGAACCAGGCCCAAUUGGUGGAUACGUGAGCCAAUAUUGUUUGCUUUGGGAUCCUUCAAAACCUGAAUGUUGUAGAAAGUCAAGCUUUGGACAUACUUUUAUGAGUAUUUGUUCUCUAGACAUGAAGGCAUAACAAUGGAGUUGCUAUCCUCAAAAUGAUUUGACAAUUCCUACUUGGUUGCUCAAGAGGCAGUGAUUAAAUCACCUUUAGGAUACCACUGCCCAGUGAAGCACUGAGCUUUUUUUGGGUGAAGUGAAGCACUGACCUUUCUGUCAUAAUGUCCUGAUUUGCCACCUCUCGAGGGAAGAGUCACAUAGUACAUUAGUACAUGGUUAGAGGGAGACAAUACUGCUAAUAGAAAGUACCAAUUAACUCUCAGAUAUGAGAGUAACACACUUUCAGAGAGAUAGGGUGCACAGAGGCAACUCUUUUGCAGAGAAUAGAAGAGGAGAUCGGUUUUGGGUUUGGAUUAUUUUGUUCUCUAUCGAGUUUUUUAGGUCCCUUCUGAACUCAUUUGCAAUUAAGUGAAAUGCAUUGCCAAAUUUCUAAAAGGUCUGGCUGGAGCUUGUUCUUUCACAGUGUGCGAUUGGCACAAUGUCAGUCCACAGUCCAGAGCAUCUCACACACUCCCCUGUCAUGGUUGGCAUAUAUCAUCACAAUCCUUUGCACAUGCAUACAUGCUCUAAGCAUCUGAAGCAAAGGGAUCGUAUAGGGGUCUUCCAUACAUGGUGCACUAUUCACACAUCGCUGAGGCCCACAAUGCAACAUGAUGAUCCACAUGCUACACCUCCCAGGAGCAUACCAGAGAUGCCAAGGUAGUUAUCACACUGUUCACCUUUGUAUACACAUGGUGGUGGUUAAUAUACAGCCACUAGUAAUCUACAUACAUUCACAGUGGUCGAUGCAUGGUAGACCAUGGGCUUUUUAUGUUGUGGUGUCACACAACCAUGGUUCCCACACUCCUGCAAUGAUCUGCAUAUACCACCGGGUCUUUUGCCACAACACAUACGUUCCAAGCAUGCGCAGCCAUGCAUACACAGCUGCACUUCGCACACCCCAAGUGAUGGUGGGGUUCUGUUCCACUAUGGUCCUAUGCUUUGUACACAAAUGCUCCAAGCAUUUGUGGCCAUGAGUAGCAGAUUUAAAGGGUGUCUACCAACACUCACAGCCAAACUGCUUGUGCACGUAUAUAGUGUAUGCAAACCUAUAUGCUCCAAGCAUGUGUGGCCAUCAGUCGCAAAAUGAAAGGGUGUUGACCCAUCACUCACAGCCAAACUGCUUGUGCAUUUUUAAAGUGCACAAAAAAUUUGCAAAAAGCCUCCAAGGCUUUCCCCCCCUCUCCCCCCUCCGGCAGGCAUUUGGAGCCAUAGUUGCUCAUGGAAGAACUGCCAUAUCGUUUCUCCCUCAUGGAUGUGGUGCUAAUUAUAAGUUUCCAUUUUUACAUUUGCUCAAACAAAUAUUAAACAAAGUUGUCUUGAAACAUAAAACACCAACAAAUAUGACUACCUAGCCUAGAAUAGGCAGAGAUCAGUCACAAGGAUAGAAGCACCAAGAAGAGAAGCACUGGGCGUGAAGAUAGUUGAAAUUGAAUCCCUGACCCAUUUGUAGAUGACGUGGUGAACAAUUAGUGGACUAGGGAUCAUACUUAUAUAGGAUUGACUCCCAAUGGGUUCCAACUCACAGUAGGAUAGAGAAAACAGGCAACCAGAAAAUAGAAGCUAAACGAGAUUCUCACCACAAUAACACACCUACCAAAAGAUAUAGAAGCUAUCUGCAAUGAUGUGAGAAAUGGGAUUCAAUGGGAGAAAUAUUGACCUUUACCUCUCCACUUUUUGAGUGAUAGUGUAAUAUGAAUCGCUUGCAAGUUACAGUGAAUACUACAGUGAAUACAGGACAGGAUGAUGAAUUGCUCCACAAAUAAAACUAAUAUCCAGUAGAAGAAGAUAAAAGAUAUAGCAAAUCAAUUGAAAACCAUGUGCAUGGAUUUUAGCCUGCAUUGUCAUGUGUAGUCUCCCAUGAGGUGUGCAUUAGAAGCUUGCCAACAUGCUUUCAACAAGCAUAUUGUUCUAAGAAACUUGCCAAGCAAACAUCUUUUGAAAUAGACACUAUGCAAAUAACAAGGAAGCUUAAUUUCUGGCUUAUAAACAUCUGUCAUUCACUAUCGCUUAAUUUGCCUUGUUUAUAUAGGACCAGCAGAUCAAAAUAUAUCAUGCAUCCAGAUAAUUACUGAGGAAAUUUCUUUGUAUUGCAAUUCUGAAGAUUAACUUAUAAAAUGCAUGAUUGAAUAUUGUGGAGUUGGAGCAAAACAAAACCAUCUAUUGAAACAAUGAAGGCCAUGAAAGUAACAGUUUGUAGGAAAACAAUCAGAUAUUAUGGUUUCAUUAUAGUUUUCCACACAAUCAUGGGUGUGCUACAUGUCACUAAAUGCUUGCAGAUAUUGACAGAUCUAUUAAUUGAAGAUUAUGCAUCAAGAGUGAAACUGUCAAUUUGGAAAUACCAGCAAAGAAAAACAACUACCUUGCUUCUAUUGAGUGGCAAGUCCCGUGGGUGCUAGCACCAUCUAGGUAGUCAAUAGUCCCUAAAGUUGUAGACAUAUAUUUGACUUCAUUUUGAAGACAGUUUCCAUUAUGUGUGACUAAUGAACAUAGCUCUCAUUUUAACUCACUAGUAUUGGACAGUCAUUGUGUUUCGUCUGUACUGUUGGGAGCUAUCCUUUUCACUAAUUUUUACCUCAAGCACGCACCAUAAUCCUUAUCCAUGCACAUUAGGAAUCUCUGGAAUACUGUUAUGUCGUUUCAAUAAUAUGCUAAUAUUCUAUAUGCAUAGUUGGAAUACCAGAUUAUAAAGCCCCACCCACUUCACCCUUUCUUACUCCCAGAGGCAUGAGAUUGCUGAUUCUAAUUUACGAUCAAUUCAAGUGGUUCCAUUCACCAGAGGGACACUCCAUGCUGUGACUCAAAUGAUAGGAUGGUAACCUGCAUUUAAAGUUAAAAUUUGCAAAGUCUUAAUAUGGACUUUUCCUCAAUGCACAUGAUGCAACGGGAUUUACAAAAUUUACACCACAGAAUGCCUUCUCUUACAAGCCAAGGCAUACGCUACCAGAUGGUCCACUCCUGUUGGCUCUACCACAAGCAAGUCAAGCUGAAAUGCAGCUGAGGCAUGUGCAGUAUACUGAAGAGUUUUAGAAUUAUCCUCUCUUACCCUGCUGUAAUAUAGAUGGUUAUAUUAUGCUCAGAGCUAGAAAUGCAUAUUCUUAAUAUUAUUUGACAGACUCAAAAGAUAGAAUGGUAACCCGCAUUUAAAAUUAAAAUUUGCAAAUUCUUAAUAUGGACUUGUCGUCUAUGCACAUGACGCAGAGGGAUUUACAAAAUUUACACCACAGAAUCCCUCCUCUUACAAGCCAAGCCAUGCGCGACCAGAUGGUUCACUGCAG